GCUGGCGGCAUGCCUUACACAUGCAAGUCGAACGGCAGCACGGGUGCUUGCACCUGGUGGCGAGUGGCGAACGGGUGAGUAAUACAUCGGAACAUGUCCUGUAGUGGGGGAUAGCCCGGCGAAAGCCGGAUUAAUACCGCAUACGAUCUACGGAUGAAAGCGGGGGACCUUCGGGCCUCGCGCUAUAGGGUUGGCCGAUGGCUGAUUAGCUAGUUGGUGGGGUAAAGGCCUACCAAGGCGACGAUCAGUAGCUGGUCUGAGAGGACGACCAGCCACACUGGGACUGAGACACGGCCCAGACUCCUACGGGAGGCAGCAGUGGGGAAUUUUGGACAAUGGGCGAAAGCCUGAUCCAGCAAUGCCGCGUGUGUGAAGAAGGCCUUCGGGUUGUAAAGCACUUUUGUCCGGAAAGAAAUCCUUGGUUCUAAUAUAGCCGGGGGAUGACGGUACCGGAAGAAUAAGCACCGGCUAACUACGUGCCAGCAGCCGCGGUAAUACGUAGGGUGCGAGCGUUAAUCGGAAUUACUGGGCGUAAAGCGUGCGCAGGCGGUUUGCUAAGACCGAUGUGAAAUCCCCGGGCUCAACCUGGGAACUGCAUUGGUGACUGGCAGGCUAGAGUAUGGCAGAGGGGGGUAGAAUUCCACGUGUAGCAGUGAAAUGCGUAGAGAUGUGGAGGAAUACCGAUGGCGAAGGCAGCCCCCUGGGCCAAUACUGACGCUCAUGCACGAA
Molecule: ribosomal RNA, 729 nt
Filed under: uncultured beta proteobacterium
Lineage: Bacteria; Pseudomonadati; Pseudomonadota; Betaproteobacteria
Description: bacterial SSU rRNA
Rfam family: Bacterial small subunit ribosomal RNA
Source: RNAcentral